AGAUUGCAGGCUGCAACCCGCCUGCAUGAAGUCGGAAUUGCAGUAAUCGCGGAUCAGCAUGCCGCGGUGAAUACGUUCCCGGGCCUUGUACACACCGCCCGUCACACCAUGGGAGCCGGUAAUACCCGAAGUCAGUAGUCCAACCUCGUGAGGACGCUGCCGAAGGUAGGAUUGGCGACUGGGGUGAAGUCGUAACAAGGUACC
Molecule: ribosomal RNA, 204 nt
Filed under: uncultured bacterium
Lineage: Bacteria
Description: partial 16S ribosomal RNA
Rfam family: Bacterial small subunit ribosomal RNA
Source: RNAcentral